AUUGAACGCUGGCGGCGGGCCUAACACAUGCAAGUCGAACGGUAACAGGAAGAAGCUUGCUUCUUUGCUGACGAGUGGCGGACGGGUGAGUAAUGUCUGGGAAACUGCCUGAUGGAGGGGGAUAACUACUGGAAACGGUGGCUAAUACCGCAUAACGUCGCAAGACCAAAGAGGGGGACCUUCGGGCCUCUUGCCAUCGGAUGUGCCCAGAUGGGAUUAGCUAGUAGGUGGGGUAACGGCUCACCUAGGCGACGAUCCCUAGCUGGUCUGAGAGGAUGACCAGCCACACUGGAACUGAGACACGGUCCAGACUCCUACGGGAGGCAGCAGUGGGGAAUAUUGCACAAUGGGCGCAAGCCUGAUGCAGCCAUGCCGCGUGUAUGAAGAAGGCCUUCGGGUUGUAAAGUACUUUCAGCGGGGAGGAAGGGAGUAAAGUUAAUACCUUUGCUCAUUGACGUUACCCGCAGAAGAAGCACCGGCUAACUCCGUG
RNAcentral lists this ribosomal RNA (490 nucleotides) under uncultured bacterium. RNAcentral describes it as "partial 16S ribosomal RNA". It matches the Rfam family "Bacterial small subunit ribosomal RNA", at positions 30 to 507 of the family's 1533-position model. The record is from RNAcentral.